This 147-nucleotide non-coding RNA is filed under the name Chlorocebus sabaeus (green monkey). Lineage: Eukaryota; Metazoa; Chordata; Mammalia; Primates; Cercopithecidae. The record is from Rfam by way of RNAcentral.
GCUGGACAUGGUGGCGCAUGUCUGUAAUCCCAGCUACUCAGGAGGCUGAGGCGGAGAAUCACUUGAACCCAGGAGAUGGAGGUUGCAGUGAGCUGAGAUCAUGCCACUGCACUCCAGCCUGGGUGACACAGUGAGAUACUGUCUCAA